UACAGAGGGUGCGAGCGUUGUUCGGAAUUACUGGGCGUAAAGCGCGCGCAGGCGGCCUUUUAAGUCUACCCGGGAAAUGCCGGGGCUCAACUCCGUGCACGCCGGGGGAUACUGGGAGGCUGGAGACAGGUAGAGGCAAGCGGAAUUCCGGGUGUAGCGGUGGAAUGCGUAGAGAUCCGGAAGAACACCUGAGGCGAAGGCGGCUUGCUGGGCCUGGUCUGACGCUGAGGCGCGAAAGCGUGGGGAGCGAACAGG
This 255-nucleotide ribosomal RNA is filed under the name uncultured bacterium. Its description in RNAcentral is "partial 16S ribosomal RNA". It matches the Rfam family "Bacterial small subunit ribosomal RNA", at positions 524 to 776 of the family's 1533-position model. The record is from RNAcentral.